UGGUGAAGCACAUCUGACCAAGCCAG
This 26-nucleotide non-coding RNA is filed under the name Mus musculus (house mouse). The record is from RNAcentral. Lineage: Eukaryota; Metazoa; Chordata; Mammalia; Rodentia; Muridae.